This 936-nucleotide ribosomal RNA is filed under the name uncultured Verrucomicrobiaceae bacterium. RNAcentral's name for it is "bacterial SSU rRNA". It matches the Rfam family "Bacterial small subunit ribosomal RNA", at positions 141 to 1076 of the family's 1533-position model. Lineage: Bacteria; Pseudomonadati; Verrucomicrobiota; Verrucomicrobiia; Verrucomicrobiales; Verrucomicrobiaceae. The record is from RNAcentral.
GAAUAGCCCGGGGAAACCCGGAUUAAUACCCCAUAGUCCCGCAAGGGUAAAGGUGGCCGUAAGGCUGUCGCUGAAGGAUUGGUUCGCGCCCUAUCAGCUUGUUGGUGAGGUAACGGCUCGCCAAGGCUACGACGGGUACCUGGUCUGAGAGGACGAUCAGGCACACUGGAACUGAGACACGGUCCAGACACCUACGGGUGGCAGCAGUCGAGAAUAAUUCACAAUGGGGGCAACCCUGAUGGUGCAACGCCGCGUGGAGGAUGACGGUCUUAGGAUUGUAAACUCCUGUCAUCUGGGAGAAAGACCUGGUCGUGAAUAGCGAACAGGGUUGAUAGUACCAGAAGAGGAAGGGACGGCUAACUUCGUGCCAGCAGCCGCGGUAAUAUGAAGGUCCCGAGCGUUGUUCGGAAUCACUGGGCGUAAAGGGAGCGUAGGCGGCGCGGUAAGUCGGAUGUGAAAUCCCGGGGCUCAACCCCGGAACUGCAUCUGAUACUGCCGUGCUAGAGUAAUGGAGGGGUAGCUGGAAUUCUCGGUGUAGCAGUGAAAUGCGUAGAUAUCGAGAGGAACACUCGUGGCGAAAGCGAGCUACUGGACAUUUACUGACGCUGAGGCUCGAAGGCUAGGGGAGCGAAAGGGAUUAGAUACCCCUGUAGUCCUAGCAGUAAACGGUGCACGCUUGGUGUGAGGGGAUUCGACCCCCCUUGUGCCGGAGCUAACGCGUUAAGCGUGCCGCCUGGGAAGUACGGUCGCAAGACUAAAACUCAAAGAAAUUGACGGGGACCCGCACAAGCGGUGGAGUAUGUGGCUUAAUUCGAUGCAACGCGAAGAACCUUACCUAGGCUUGACAUGGAUUUCUAAGCACGUGAAAGCGUGUGACCCUUCGGGGAACUUCCACAGGUGCUGCAUGGCCGUCGUCAGCUCGUGUCGUGAGAUGUU